CCCUUUACGCCACACUGGACCCUGGUGUUAUAUAAAGUCAGUGCGAAUACAAGCUUCUGUCUAUCUUCAGUGGAUGUGUCUGGUUGCUGUAGACUACACAAUGUGGAUUCUUCUAGCUGGGUUUGUGGUUCUGGUGUGUGCUGCAGAUGCCACACCAGUUCUUGGCAGAACAUUUCCUGAUUUUGGAAAGAUGUAUAAUGUCAAAGGUGUGGUGUCUUUGCCUCAUUCUGAGAUAAAGGAGCCGUUUGAAGCUUGGUACGAUCUUGAUGGGAACAGAAGUCGCAUUGACUAUCGUAAUAGCACAGUGCGCACCUUUCAGAUUGGAAAUGACUUGGAUUUUGGUGCCAUUUACAAGAUCACACGAGUCCUUCCUCCCAGUAAUAUUAAGUGUUUCCAGCUUAAAGGAACUAAAGAUGAUCCAAUAGAGCCGCAGGAAGCAAUCCCUGAUGCGCAGAGCUUUGAUUUUGAGAAGAUGGAAGAUUGCAAAGGUACUCAGCGUGAGGUCUGGAAAACCAUCACAGAGGCUGGCCAUAAGAAGAACACAUACUGUCUGUGGG
Molecule: long non-coding RNA, 557 nt
Filed under: Danio rerio (zebrafish)
Lineage: Eukaryota; Metazoa; Chordata; Actinopteri; Cypriniformes; Danionidae
Description: lncRNA si:dkey-61o18.3 (ENSDARG00000104562.2)
Source: RNAcentral